GAAUAAUAAAAUAAUAAUCAUCAUAAAAAUGAAGAUAAUAGUACUAAUAAACAAUAGAUAAAUAAAUAAAUGAAUAAAUAAAUCGCACGCUCCUUGGUCUGCAGAG
RNAcentral lists this ribosomal RNA (106 nucleotides) under uncultured eukaryote. RNAcentral describes it as "partial Trypanosomatid mitochondrial large subunit ribosomal RNA". The record is from RNAcentral.